RNAcentral lists this ribosomal RNA (428 nucleotides) under uncultured bacterium. RNAcentral describes it as "partial 16S ribosomal RNA". It matches the Rfam family "Bacterial small subunit ribosomal RNA", at positions 354 to 796 of the family's 1533-position model. The record is from RNAcentral.
GUGGGGAAUAUUGGGCAAUGGGGGCAACCCUGACCCAGCGACGCCGCGUGAGGGAAGACGGCCUUCGGGUUGUAAACCUCUUUUGUACGGGAAGAAGGAAGUGACGGUACUGUACGAAUAAGUCCCGGCUAACUACGUGCCAGCAGCCGCGGUAAUACGUAGGUGGCAAGCGUUAUCCGGAUUUACUGGGUGUAAAGGGCGUGUAGGCGGGAAAGCAAGUCAGAUGUGAAAACUAUGGGCUCAACCCAUAGCCUGCAUUUGAAACUGUUUUUCUUGGGUACUGGAGAGGCAGAUGGAAUUCCUAGUGUAGCGGUGAAAUGCGUAGAUAUUAGGAGGAACACCAGUGGCGAAGGCGGCCUGCUGGACAUUAACUGACGCUGAGGCGCGAAAGCGUGGGGAGCAAACAGGAUUAGAUACCCGUGUAGUCC